GCUACCUAUAUUGGCAUUUCUCUGCAUACAUAUUGACUGUUUUAGGAAGAAGAACAUCCAGAUUAGGAUAUCUUCAAAGAUAUUUAUUCAAUUUAUAUUGGGAAUUGAUUGGUUGCCUUAAGUGAGAUGAUAAUGACUGUAAAAGAUAAUUGUGAUGUGGCAAAAGCAAUGUAGGUCUGAGAUAUUGGAUAUUUCCUUCAGAGUGACCCAGCAGUUCUCCUGUGUAUCAGGUUAUGUAUGAAUCUGUCAAUUGCACUAAGUAGUUUACAUUUGUCUUUAUCUGCAGAUGAUUGGUUGUACAGAAGAGGAAGCAUAAUUGUUUAACUGAAUAAAUGGAAUAUUUGUACUUGGAAUUACAGGUCAGUAGGUUUUCUUUUUAUGGAUCAUAGUUAUAUAAGAUCACAAAAAUUUAAGUUGAGUAAAAUUGUGAAUGGAAAUGGGGAAUGUGUCAAAGAAACAACAACCUGACCAAACGGAAUAAAAAAAAAAAAAAAAAAAACAUCAAUAAGUUUUCAACACAGUGAAAACAUCCCUUACCCAAAGGCAUGCUUCAGCUAGCCCCUAAACAAAAAUGUGUUUUUGAGUAUAAAAGUCAUGUCUUAUCACUGUACGUCAUAAAGAGUUUGAUUAGAAAUUUUUUGUCAAAUUAUUUCUGGGCUUAUAUGAGAGGGAACAAUUGUAUAUUUGGUCUGCAGCUUCAUAUUGCUGAAGCGUAACGGUUAAGCAAUUUUGAUAUCUGCCUUGCAGCUGCUUUCUAUUUGCUGAUGAUUAUAAAUUUUACAGCACUCUUUGUGAAAGAAAAACUUUGGUCACACUUUUUUUGGCCUCUAUAAAAGGGAAUUAUUUCAUAUUUGAUUUUCAGCUCCAUAAUGAUGAAUUCUAGAAUUAAAGCAAUUACCAUACAGCCACUUCCUAUUUGCCUAUAAAUUAAAAUUUUACAAACUCAUUGUUUACAGAAAAUUCUCGUCAAUAUUUCUUAGCUUUAAUGAUCAGUAAUGCUUCAAUAUACAUGUAUGUACAUGUCACUUCAAUUAAUUGCAUGCAGUGACACAUACACGGUGGGUAUGGUUGUCCUGCGAGAGAACGUACUGUGCUGGUGAUUCGGUCCUGACGGGUGCUGGUGAUCAAUGAAAAAAUGUAAACAAAGACGAAAAUGAUGAUUUUUGACGUUUUCACUCAUAAAAAAUGGAAGAAAAAAGUUGAGAUUUUUCAAUUUCGUUUCUUAUGGGUUCAUAUAUAAACCAUUAAAAAAUUGACCCUCUAAUCUGUUUCAGUAAGCGUAACACAAAAAUGCUCAUUUUCAGAAAAUCUCAAACUGAAAAAAUAAAACAAAAAUGCUCAUUGAGUCCGCUUUCGAUACCGCAAUCCACACGACAAAACAAUUUUGUGAAAAAACAUUGCAAUUUAUUAAAAUUUAGCCUUUUCUCAAUUUAUUCAUGUCCUGAUACUGUGCUGGUGGGUCCUGUCAUUGUGCUGGUGGGUCCUGAUACGGUGCUGGUGAUUUUGGAUAAGAAGCUGGUCAUAUUUGAAACAAAUGUUACAAAAUCAAUAAAGUUAGCCAGAUAAUUGUUGCCAACAGGAUCUAUAACUCCUAUUUUAGGUCUUGUGCAUCCAUUUGGCUGUUUAAUAUGUGUUUUCAAAUGAUCUGAACUUGUAUUACAUAAUAACAUAAAAGGGCAACAUCUUUCGUCCAAUAUCAGAUAACAAUAUAUAGUAUCUAAAAUAAGUUAAAAAUUCCACAAUACUAUAUAAUUCAUUUUAUGUGUCGAUUUGUUCGAAAAAAGUCGAAAAGAAGAGACUUUUUUUAAUGUCAUGAUUAUCUGUCGCUUUCUAGAUCUAUGCUUAGCAUUCAUUGCAGAUGACAUGGACUCCUCACCCUGAUGACCCUGCUGCCUUUCAUAACUUUAUCCGUAUACAUAUAUUAAUAGAUAAACAUAAGGCUGCAACACGUAUUUUUGUAUUUAAAAUGAUUCGUUGUAACGAGAAUAUUUGUGGUGAAUGGAAACUGUGAGGGUCACAAUCUUAAAUUGCUUAUAAAUGUUGCUAGACCCAGUUUCGUUAUCUGAUCUGAAUUUUCUAAAAUGUGCAAGGUAGAUAGACAUUUUGAUUUUUUUUUUUACUCGGUAAUGAACCAUUGUGUUGAUCCCAUGCUAAACAUGACAAAAAUCUCUGUACAAAGGUCUGUGAAUUCUCUACAAAAAUAGUGAUUUUAUUUUCACUAAAUUCUCUUUUUCUACUAAAUACAAUAAUGAACCAUAAAUAUAUAUAAUAAUGCUUUGCAAGAAGUUUCCCCUCGAUAUAUGUACAAAAUUCUAUCUCUAUUAUUCAUUGUCUGUACUGUUUUGAUACUAUUGCAGUUUGCACAUUUCGGAAUUAACAGGCCACAGGAGGGGUCAUAAACCGUACACGAAAAGAUAAAAUAUUGAUAUAAGAACUUAAUUUGCAUCUUUGAACCCCCACUCCGGCUUGUUUUUUUAGAAGCCUGUGGUGUAUGGGAACAAAAAUGUUUGAUAUAUCUGGCUUUAGAUUCAGGUUUUUUUUUAAAUAUAAAUUAAGGCUACAUUAUAAUAUAAUAAUUCUAUGAAUUCACAAUAUAAAAAAAUGCAGAAAAAAAAAUGAAUGAAGUGAAAAAUCUUCGUAAGGAGUCAUUACUACAGAGAUGGUGUGUUUGACACACAAAACUUAAAAGCUUAGUGAUAUUUCCAAUAUUAAAAUAAAAGUGUAUUUAGUUGGGUAUUUUUUCAUUUACCCUCAUUUUCAAUUAUAAUCAAGGCACAUUUUAUUCAUGAAAAAUAUUUAAAUAUAGAAAAGAAGGACACAUUGUUCACUUCCUCCCCCGUAAUUCUUUAUCAAAAAUAUUUAUUUUGAAAUGAAAAAGCUAAGAAAUCUUAAUUUUGUUAGUGUUCUCUAGGUUAUCUCGUGACGUCUUCAUUCUCUGACAUAUUCUAGCCUGCCCUUUCAAAAAAUAGUGAUUUUUUUAGUGUUCUAUCGAACUUUCGAAAAGAAAAAAAAAUACCUGAUAACCUUUUAGACAAAAAAAAAAUAUGUUGAAAAAUCUAACAGCAAGUGAUUCUUAACAGCUAUUAAGAUACAUUUUUCUUUUACAAUACAACUUUUAAAUCUUACGGGAAACUAUUACAAGCUUACUUGUAUACCUCGUCUAACUUAUCCCCAUCCCCCGACCCCCCCCCCCCCCAAAAAAAAAAAAAAAAAACCCAAACAAACAAACCCGCAAUACUAAUUGUCAUUCUUAUAUCAGCACUCAAUUGUUCACAAACAAAUGGUUUUAAGCUGCUAAAGACAUGAUUCAAACGCCCAGAAAGUCCUUUGUUCUAUAUUUUUGCUCUCCAUUUUUAGGUAAAACCUUUUACAUUUUUGUCGAGCCUUCGACUUUAGUCGAAAAAGCGAGACUAAGCGAUCCUACAUUCCGUCGUCGUCGGCGUCGUCGUCGUCGGCGGCGUCCACAAAUAUUCACUCUGUGGUUAAAGUUUUUGAAAUUUUAAUAACUUUUUUAAACUAUACUGAAUUUCUACCAAACUUGGACUAAGCUUGUUUUAUGAUCAUAGAAAGUAUCCAGAAGUAAAUUUUGUAAAAAUAAAAUUCCAUUUUUUCCGUAUUUAACUUAUAAAAAGGACUUAGUUUUUCUGCGAGGAAACAUUACAUUCACUCUGUGGUUAAAGUUUUAAAAUUUUAAUAACUUUCAUAAACUAUCCUUGAUUUGUACCAAACUUGGACAGAAGCUUGUUUAUGAUCAUAAGAUAGUAUCAAGAAGAAAAUUUUGUAAAAAUAAAUUUCCACUUUUCCUUAUUUUACUUAUAAAUGGACUUAGUUUUUCUGCGAGGAAACAUUACAUUCACUCUGUGGUUAAAGUUUUUAAAAUUUUAAUAACUUUCAUAAACUAUCCUUGAUUUGUACCAAACUUGACAGAAGCUUGUUUAUGAUCAUAAGAUAGUAUCAAGAAGAAAAUUUUGUAAAAAUAAAUAUCCACUUUUCCUUAUUUUACUUAUAAAUGGACUUAAUUUUUUUGUCAGAAACAAAACAUUCACUCUGUGGUUUAAGUUUUUAAAAUUUGUAUAAUGGUCUUAAACUAUCCUGGAUUUCUACCAAACUUAGACAAAAGCUUGUUUCUGAUCAUAAAAUAUUAUUCAGAAGUAAAUUUUGUAAAAAAAAAUUCACUUUUUCCGUAUUUUACUUAUAAAUGGACUUAGUUUUUCUUCCAGUUAACAUUACAUACAGUCUGCAGUUAAAGUUUAUCAAACAUUUAUUAGAUUCAUAAACUAUCCUGGAUUUUUUUACCAAACUUAGAAGCUUCUUUCAAUCAAAAGACAGUAUCGAGAGGGAAAUUUUUAGUGAUGUUUUCCUCAUUUUUGUUGAGUCUGCGAUUAACAGCAAAAGUAGGCGAGACACUGGGUUCCGUGGAACCCUUAUGAAUUUUUAUUUUAUGGGUUAUUGUUGAAGGUCGUACGAUGACGUAUGGUUGUUAACACAUACUUCCUUUGGUUUCUUAUGGAAAUUUGUCCAUUGACAAUAAACAUACCACAUCAUCUACUUUAUAUAAGUAUUGUAAAAACUACAACGUAUUUUGGUGAUCUUGCAAAAUGAUCGUAAUCCCGUAAAUCGUAAACAUAUUUUCUUAUCUUAAAAGGGGACAAGAAGGGUUCCAUUAACAGGCCAAUAAAUAAGAUUACAGUUAAUUAAAAAAAAAAAAAUAAAAAAAAAAAAAUAGGGGUAUUUUUUCUCUCAUAAUAACAGUAAACAGAUUCACAACAAUGUCAAUUUCAAGAAAGCAGACAACAGCUAAUUUGUCAAUAACAGUACAGCAUCAAUGAUCUUGAAUAUAUGCCACGUUUAACUAAAAUAUAAAAGCACAGAACCAGGACAUAGGAGCACAGAACCAGGACCAUUUUUCUUAUCACCAGCACAGCGUCAGGACAAUUCCGUUUAACGAACUUGCACGACUUUUGCAAUAUAAUAUUGUUGUAAUUAUACUUUGCAUGGUACUUAUGACACAUCAGAGAAAAAUUUAGCAACAAAACAGUCGUUUUAUUGCCGUUUUGAUACAAUGUAAACAAACCCACCAGCACAGAAUCAGGACCCACCAGCACCCGUCAGGACCAAAUCACCAGCACAGUACGUUCUCUCGCAGGACAACCAUACCCACCGUGACAUAGGUCUAGAUCUGGUAUUGGUAUUUUUAUAUUAUACUUAUAUAUUUAUAAAAGUAAAAUGUCAAUGAAAAAUGCAAGUAUGAAUAUAAAAAAGAAAAUAAGAAAAUGCAAAUAUAAGAUAAGCUUACAUUAUUUUUUACUAGUUUAACUCUUCACAGAAAAUAUUCAUGAUAAACUGCAUCCAUAAUUUAAAAAAUGAGUUUUUUUUUUUAGUGUUAUGUAAUAGACAUACUAUAAGCAGGCUUGGAAUAAUGUAAACGAUGUAGAUACAUGUACACCAAAAUAUUUGCAUUCUCCCCUCUUUUAUUUUCCAUGUUAAAUUUCAUUUCAGACAUAAAUCCUAAUAUGUGAACGAUUUAGUUGACAGUUAGUUAGAUUUAGAAUACUACUUCCAAGUAAUCCAAGAAUAAACAUGGAGAACAUAAAAACAUUAACAUCUUUGAUCUUCAUUUGGACAUUGUGUUUCUCUAUGUGUGUUUGUAAUACUGGAGGAGGAGUUAACCACCAACCCAAGCACAACACAGAUAAUAGUAGUACAAAAAGUAACAAUACACCUCACGAUGACAACAACACAGAUCACCAUGGUCAUAUUCAUGGUGUAGAAAUAGCUGAAUGGAAAUUUGAUGAGUUACGAGAGCCUUUCAUUUUUACUAUUGUUGUUUUAUUAGCUGGACUCAGCAAAAUUGGUAAGUAACCUUAGAAAGA
This 5873-nucleotide long non-coding RNA is filed under the name Mytilus galloprovincialis (Mediterranean mussel). Lineage: Eukaryota; Metazoa; Mollusca; Bivalvia; Mytilida; Mytilidae. The record is from RNAcentral.